Molecule: ribosomal RNA, 253 nt
Filed under: uncultured bacterium
Lineage: Bacteria
Description: partial 16S ribosomal RNA
Rfam family: Bacterial small subunit ribosomal RNA
Source: RNAcentral
UACGGGGGGAGCAAGCGUUGUUCGGAUUUACUGGGCGUAAAGGGCGCGUAGGCGGUCACGCACGUCCGUUGUGAAAUCGCUCGGCUCAACUGGGCGGGGUCAGCGGAUACGGCGUGGCUGGAGCAAGCUAGGGGGCAAUGGAAUUCCCGGUGUAGUGGUGGAAUGCGUAGAUAUCGGGAGGAACACCAGUGGCGAAGGCGGUUGCCUGGAGCUUUGCUGACGCUGAUGCGCGAAAGCGUGGGGAGCGAUCCGG